CACGAGGUUUUAGUUUCUUUUACAUCUCUGGAGCAAAGACCAUUUUCCAUCGCAGUCAUUUGAAACCCUUCUGUCGUUGCUGAAGUGCCUUCCAUCAGCUACAGCACAGGAGGAUUAAACCCAAUUUAUCAGCACAGCCCAUCACAGACAGAGGAAAACAAGUUUUACACGGCAUAAGCAGCAGGGAAGCAAUCAGAUCCUCGUUUCCAGUGCAAGACUUAAUGCAACGGUGCCAUUUCUGUAACCUUUGGGACUUCCAUAAUAAAGGAAACACAAACAAUGGAAGAU
Long non-coding RNA from Pezoporus flaviventris, 288 nucleotides. RefSeq lists it as uncharacterized. The record is from RefSeq and is a predicted model, not a curated record. Lineage: Eukaryota; Metazoa; Chordata; Aves; Psittaciformes; Psittacidae. The transcript is spliced from 2 exons.